GCUGCUCUCCAUCUUUAUCACUGCAGCAAUGUGGUUACGUAAACCUUUUGGUUCUUUGAGUUUGAUGACCUCUUUCAUUUCCUGCUUCAAACCAGUGUAAAACUUGCUGAUCAGGUUAGGCUCAUCAAUUCUUUUAACUUGAGUUAUCAGCUCUUCAAACUUCUUGACAUACUGACGUACAGAACCGGUCUGCGUCAAAGCACACAAGCGAUUGCGAAGUUCAUCAUCAAUCGACUCCGCAAAUCUCUCCAACAUCCGCUGUUUAAAGUGAAACCAGCUCUCGAAUCUCUCCUCCUCUGCUUCCCAUAGAUACCAGUUCAAUACCUCCCUAGUCAAAC
This 338-nucleotide long non-coding RNA is filed under the name Brassica napus (rape). RNAcentral's name for it is "long non-coding RNA (BNAP_LNC020135)". The record is from RNAcentral. Lineage: Eukaryota; Viridiplantae; Streptophyta; Magnoliopsida; Brassicales; Brassicaceae.